UAUUAACUCUGGCGGCGUGCCUAAUACAUGCCAGUCGAGCGAACAGACGAGGAGCUUGCUCCUCUGACGUUAGCGGCGGACGGGUGAGUAACACGUGGAUAACCUACCUAUAAGACUGGGAUAACUUCGGGAAACCGGAGCUAAUACCGGAUAAUAUAUUGAACCGCAUGGUUCAAUAGUGAAAGACGGUUUUGCUGUCACUUAUAGAUGGAUCCGCGCCGCAUUAGCUAGUUGGUAAGGUAACGGCUUACCAAGGCAACGAUGCGUAGCCGACCUGAGAGGGUGAUCGGCCACACUGGAACUGAGACACGGUCCAGACUCCUACGGGAGGCAGCAGUAGGGAAUCUUCCGCAAUGGGCGAAAGCUUGACGGAGCAACGCCGCGUGAGUGAUGAAGGUCUUCGGAUCGUAAAACUCUGUUAUUAGGGAAGAACAAAUGUGUAAGUAACUAUGCACGUCUUGACGGUACCUAAUCAGAAAGCCACGGCUAACUACGUG
Molecule: ribosomal RNA, 497 nt
Filed under: uncultured bacterium
Lineage: Bacteria
Description: partial 16S ribosomal RNA
Rfam family: Bacterial small subunit ribosomal RNA
Source: RNAcentral